CCUACGGGAGGCAGCAGGCGCGGAACCUCCGCAAUACACGAAAGUGUGACGGGGUUACCCAAAGUGUUCAAUUUUGAACUGUGGUAGGUGAGUAAUGUUCCCUACUAGAAAGGCGAGGGCAAGGCUGGUGCCAGCCGCCGCGGUAAAACCAGCUCUUCAAGUGGUCGGGAUAAUUAUUGGGCUUAAAGUAUCCGUAGCCGGUUUAGUAAGUUCCUGGUAAAAUCGGGUAGCCUAACUAUCUGCAUGCUAGGAAUACUGCUAUACUAGAGGACGGGAGAGGUCUGAGGUACUACAGGGGUAGGGGUGAAAUCUUAUAAUCCUUGUAGGACCACCAGUGGCGAAGGCGUCAGACUGGAACGUGCCUGACGGUGAGGGACGAAAGCCAGGGGAGCGAACCGGAUUAGAUACCCCGGUAGUCC
This 419-nucleotide ribosomal RNA is filed under the name uncultured archaeon. RNAcentral's name for it is "bacterial SSU rRNA". It matches the Rfam family "Archaeal small subunit ribosomal RNA", at positions 322 to 747 of the family's 1478-position model. The record is from RNAcentral.